GUUGCACAUUCCCGAGAAUGUGCAGUAUCGGAGCGAAGGUGUUAAACUCACCGCCUGGGGAGUACGGUCGCAAGGCUGAAACUUAAAGGAAUUGGCGGGGGAGCACAACAAGGGGUGCGGCGUGCGGUUUAAUUGAACUCAACGCCGGGAAUCUCAUCAGCAGCGACGGCAGAAUGAAGGUCAGAUUGAAGGUCUUACCUGACAAGCCGAGAGGUGGUGCAUGGCCGUCGUCAGCUCGUGCCGUAAGGUGUCCUGCUAAGCCAGGUAACGAGCGAGACCUGUACCCACAAUUGCUAACAUUCUUUUUUGAGGGUGUGCACAGUGUGGGGACUGCCUUGGAAACAAGGAGGAAGGUGCAGUCAACGAUAGGUCUGUAUGCCCCGAAUCUGCUGGGCUACACGCGCGCAACAAUGGUAUGGACAAUGGGAUGCAACUCCGAAAGGAGAAGCUAAACCUCGAAACCAUAUCUUAGUUCAGAUUGAGGUUUGUAACUCAGCCUCAUGACGACGGAAUCCCUAGUAAUCAGACGUCAUCAUCGUCCGGUGAAUAUGUCCCUGCUCCUUGUACACACCGCCCGUCAAACCACUCGAGUAGGGUUUAGGUGAGGCCAGAUUUCUUGAUCUGAUCGAAUCUAAGCUUUGCGAGAUGGGUUAAGUCGUAACAAGGUAGCC
RNAcentral lists this ribosomal RNA (671 nucleotides) under uncultured archaeon. RNAcentral describes it as "bacterial SSU rRNA". It matches the Rfam family "Archaeal small subunit ribosomal RNA", at positions 773 to 1448 of the family's 1478-position model. The record is from RNAcentral.